ACUAAAAUAGUCAAUUGACCGCCUAAGGAUAGAUUGCCCUUCAUAGUCAAUUUUUAACAAUUUUCUUAAAAUUUGAAGAUUUUCAAUAACAUUUUCCACAGAAAGUACUGUUAUAGAGAGAGAUAAUUGUAAGCAGCAAGAAUGUUUAGUAAAGUAAGAUCUACAAACACAUCACCAUCACCAAAACACAAUUUUGUCAUGAAUCCAUCUGUGUCCAUUGUUUAAUAUUCACAUAGACCAAGGUGAGCGACACAGGCUCUUUAGAGCCUCUAGUUUAAAUUUAUUUU
Molecule: long non-coding RNA, 287 nt
Filed under: Mytilus galloprovincialis (Mediterranean mussel)
Lineage: Eukaryota; Metazoa; Mollusca; Bivalvia; Mytilida; Mytilidae
Source: RNAcentral